AUAACUUUAAUGAUAAUUAUGUUCUUGAGAAAGUGUAUCACGAAUUUAACACUACUUACAUGUACCAGAUCUGGCUGUUGUACAGAGAAGCAUCCAGCGAUUGAAAUGAUUGUUGUAAAUAGCAACAUUACAAUAAAUGAAGAGGAGAAUUAUCAGAAGAAAGACAACUACAUUCAGAUCAUAGUGAUACUCGUCACAGAACUCGUGUUCGUUGUUUCUGUCUUUGUUAUUAUUCUUAUACACCUUCACAGAAAACGAGGGGGAAUGAAUA
Saccostrea cuccullata (small rock oyster) is the source of this 271-nucleotide long non-coding RNA. RefSeq lists it as uncharacterized. The transcript has 3 exons. The record is from RefSeq and is a predicted model, not a curated record. NCBI's taxonomy places the organism in Eukaryota, Metazoa, Mollusca, Bivalvia, Ostreida, Ostreidae.